RNAcentral lists this long non-coding RNA (341 nucleotides) under Gossypium raimondii (Peruvian cotton). Its description in RNAcentral is "long non-coding RNA (GRAI_LNC007398)". The record is from RNAcentral. Lineage: Eukaryota; Viridiplantae; Streptophyta; Magnoliopsida; Malvales; Malvaceae.
UUUAGGCUAUGUUGUUGCACAAUGCCAAAAAAUCAUGACACAAGUAUCAGAUAUGAAUGUGCGUUUAAUACGGAUAUUUUUAAUUUUUUUAAAAAAAAUUGUUCGUGUAUUUAGAAGGUAUUUGGGAGAUUAUAUUAAAAAAAUUGUUCGUGUAUUUAGAAGGUAUUUGGGAGAUUAUAUGUCUGAAUGUCCAAAAAUGAAGAGUCAGGCAUGAUCCUAAGAGCAUAUAUUCAAAUAUAAGUUUAACCGUUCUAAAUAUAUGAAAAUACGUACUCGAGUCAUGCCAAACACGUAAUUGUAUCACACCUAAAUCCACAAGAAAGGAGAAAAUUGAUACUCAC